UACGGAGGGUGCGAGCGUUGUCCGGAAUCAUUGGGCGUAAAGGGCGCGUAGGUGGCCCGGUCAGUUCGUGGUGAAAGCGCGGGGCUCAACCCUGCGUCGGCCAUGAAUACUGCCGCGGCUGGAGCACUGUAGAGGCAGGCGGAAUUCCGGGUGUAGCGGUGGAAUGCGCAGAUAUCAGGAGGAACACCUAUAGCGAAGGCAGCUUGCUGGGACGUUACUGACGCUAAGGCGCGAAAGCGUGGGGAGCGAACAGG
Molecule: ribosomal RNA, 254 nt
Filed under: uncultured bacterium
Lineage: Bacteria
Description: partial 16S ribosomal RNA
Rfam family: Bacterial small subunit ribosomal RNA
Source: RNAcentral